Daucus carota subsp. sativus is the source of this 115-nucleotide non-coding RNA. NCBI's taxonomy places the organism in Eukaryota, Viridiplantae, Streptophyta, Magnoliopsida, Apiales, Apiaceae. The record is from Rfam.
GCCUGUGAUGUUUCAAUCCACUAGCACGAGGUGUGGUGUAUCCAGGACCCUGUUUACAGGGAGAACCACCUGGUGAAGCUACAUUUCAAAUGAUAUUAUCGGAUUUUACUGAGGC